Molecule: small nuclear RNA, 152 nt
Organism: Meleagris gallopavo (turkey)
Lineage: Eukaryota; Metazoa; Chordata; Aves; Galliformes; Phasianidae
Gene: U1
Rfam family: U1 spliceosomal RNA
About the family: U1 is a small nuclear RNA (snRNA) component of the spliceosome (involved in pre-mRNA splicing). Its 5' end forms complementary base pairs with the 5' splice junction, thus defining the 5' donor site of an intron. There are significant differences in sequence and secondary structure between metazoan and yeast U1 snRNAs, the latter being much longer (568 nucleotides as compared to 164 nucleotides in human).
Source: Ensembl
GAUUUUACCUGGCAGCAGACACACCGUGAUCAGGCACGGUGAGGCUCAUUCCUUGUAUUUUGGGUGUGCUGAGUCGUGUGAUUUCUCCGGAUGCAGGAAACUCAACUGCAUAACUUAUGGUAGCAGGGGGACUGUGUUUUUUCUUAUUUAUU